RNAcentral lists this long non-coding RNA (2235 nucleotides) under Canis lupus familiaris (dog). RNAcentral describes it as "lncRNA (ENSCAFG00845006740.1)". The record is from RNAcentral. Lineage: Eukaryota; Metazoa; Chordata; Mammalia; Carnivora; Canidae.
AUAGUAGGCAGAGAAAAAGUCAAGACCAGGCAGCAUUAGAAAUUUUUUGAGUGCUUUUUAUUUGGUCAAGAAAAAGCAGAAAAAAUAUAAGUAUAAAUAUAAAAAAUAAAAAUAUAUAUAUUUGUUGGGAUAUUCUACUUUUGUUCAUUUUAUCCAUUAUUACAGGCAAGAUUUGUCUAACUUUUGCUCUGCCUGAGAAGAAAUGCAGUGCAGGACAAGUUAUAUGCAGUGCAGGAAGCAAUGUUCUAAUUAUGGUCUUAUACAUAGUCUGCUGACCAAAGGACAAGGAGUAGAACAGGCAGUGGAGGCUUACUGUGUGUCAGAGACUGUUCUUUGAACUGAGAAAUAAGCCAGGAACAAAAUAGACUGUGCUCAUCGUGGAACCUAUAAUCCAGCAGAAGGAAGAGCAAGUGCAUCAUUUAUCACAAAGAAUCCUUCAGUUCAGGGAGGAAUGAAAAGAUGGGGAGAUAUGAGAAGAAGGAAGAAUCCAAGCCCUACAACAUAAGAGCAUUGCUCUGGAAGACUUCUGCCUGGAUGUAAGACGGAUCGAUCUUGAUUCUGGCCCCAAAGCAAUUCUUAUUGCCCAAGACAUUCUUCUUCUUUGCUAACUUUGGACACUGCAUUCUAGUCAACAGGACAAAGUUAAGCAAUCACACAAAGAGGCUGUGGCAGACAUCGGAACCAUCCUCCAUUGUUUCAGCACAGGAAAGGAUUGCAUUUUCCUGCCUUCUUCAAGUGAAGUACAUCCAGAAGCUUUCUUUGGCCAAAGAAAUGUGAGCCAAGAAUUUUAACCUAUGCACCAUGAUUCCAUUGAAGACCUCCAAGGUGCAGCCAGCUGCUAAGUCAUGGCAAGUCAACAUUGUGUCCUAUCACAACAAGGCUUUGCAACAGCAAUGAUGCAAUCACUCAGUAGAUGCUGUUUAAACAUUACAUUAAAAGGCAAGCUGAAGUCCAAGGUUAUCUUGAGCAGGGAAAAGCCAUCCCGGUUCUCCCAAGCUUGAGCCUCUGGGCUGCAAUGACUCAGACUGUGGACACAGAGUUCACAAAUCCCAAUUGUAAUGAGUGGGCAACCCCAGCGCUUUACAUAAGCAAAGAGAGGAAGCGGCGUGUGUUUUGAGACUGACUGGCACCAAAGGAGACAAAAGCCUACAGUAUAAUUAUGCCAAGCAUAUAAUAUGAUGCAAUCGGUUACUGUCUCCAAUAUGCCCCACAGUGCAGCACAAGGACUUUGAAUAGUAGAAUGCUCCAGAACUGUGUGUCUGUGCCAUUGGAAGCCUGAGAAAGCUAUGGCAUCUUCUCUUCUGCCAGUCAACAGUGUCAUGGGCAUUUAUUGAGCAUCUACUGUAUACUGGGGACUGUGCUCAAUCUUGGGGAUAUAGAGUUACUCAGGGUCAAGAGUGGGCAUGGAAGCAGAUGAUCCUCCUUCUGACACAUGGUCAGAAAGUCAGUAGUGGCCUGACCCUACGUCACAACGCCUACGCCAUUCACCGCACUGCAACUCAUCACACAGGCGUUUCAUCGUCUCACAUCAUCACAAGAAAGUUAAAGAACCAUCAGCAACUUGGUAGUUCCUCAAGUAUGGAGAACACCAGUACAAGUGAGCUCUCUGAGCUCUCCAACUGCAGCUUUAUCUUCAUCUUUAAGUUUACACAACCCAUGGAUAAAUUAUAAGUUACUGCAGAGAUUCCCACCAAUGACAAACUGACUCACUGUCCUCCAAGUUCUUUCAUCUUUUUGGAUUCAACUUCUAAGGCUCUGUGUAUUCUGUUAAGAUGGAGUGUGCUAUUUGGCAAAAUUACAGAGAGUAUGCCAGCAUUCGGACACAUUUUCCAUUUUACCUGUAUAGAAAAAUGUUACCAUUGCUGAAGUUUUUUCCAUGAUUGCUUCUUGCCCCUGUAACAGGCAGCUCGUGGCCAGCUUUGUGAAAUGUUUCAUGUCUGUUCCUGUGCAGCCAUGAAAAUAGAAUGAAAGGUUUAAGUGACUUUUGUUUGUUAAAAUAUAACAAACGAUUAUCCUAGAAACACCAUACCAUUGUAGGACUAUUUUCAGUAAUGUUUUGUUUUAGCUUUUUCAUUGCCAAGUGCCCGGUUGAUCUGGGUACCAAAACCACAGUUUCAGAACAAGGUUUCAAAGAAUGGUAAUGUCAUAUUUCUCUUGGUUGGCUGACAUCUCAAAACUGUUCUGCCUGAAGCCCUCCCAGAUGAAAAGAUUAUUCUUUUGUUCUAAAAACGAUAA